CCUACGGGAGGCAGCAGUAGGGAAUAUUGCUCAAUGGGGGAAACCCUGAAGCAGCAACGCCGCGUGGAGGAUGAAGGUUUUCGGAGUGUAAACUCCUUUUGUUAGAGAAGAUAAUGACGGUAUCUAACGAAUAAGCACCGGCUAACUCCGUGCCAGCAGCCGCGGUAAUACGGAGGGUGCAAGCGUUACUCGGAAUCACUGGGCGUAAAGAGCGCGUAUGCGGGAUAGCAAGUCAGAUGUGAAAUCCUAUGGCUUAACCAUAGAACUGCAGUUGAAACUGUUAUUCUAGAGUAUGGGAGAGGUAGGUGGAAUGCUUGGUGUAGCGGUAAAAUCCGUAGAGAGCAAGAGGAAUACUCAUUGCGAAGGCGACCUGCUAGAACAUAACUGACGCUGAUGCGCGAAAGCGUGGGGAGCAAACAGGAUUAGAUACCCUUGUAGUC
RNAcentral lists this ribosomal RNA (440 nucleotides) under uncultured bacterium. Its description in RNAcentral is "partial 16S ribosomal RNA". It matches the Rfam family "Bacterial small subunit ribosomal RNA", at positions 338 to 795 of the family's 1533-position model. The record is from RNAcentral.